Long non-coding RNA from Mytilus trossulus (common blue mussel), 1231 nucleotides. RefSeq lists it as uncharacterized. The record is from RefSeq and is a predicted model, not a curated record. The transcript is spliced from 4 exons. NCBI's taxonomy places the organism in Eukaryota, Metazoa, Mollusca, Bivalvia, Mytilida, Mytilidae.
CCCACAUGUAAAUAGCACGGUGAUUUCAAAUAAGACAUUGAUUGUAUUACAACACUUGCCGUCAGUAUUUGAAUAUAUUGAUUAAGAAGGUUGUCAGCAAGAUGAAAAGGACAAGUAUGCAGUUCAAAAUUCAAAAUGUGGAUAAGCUGAGGUUCAAGGUCUUACCUUUGCAGAUUUUCAUAUUUUGCAUGAAUGAAUUCAAAGAUUAUAUGAUGGACGGCAGAGAAAGAAAAAAAAAACUUUUCAAUUAUCCUGCUCCUGGAUAAAUGUAAAACAUGUUGUUUUUUGGACAAGAACUAUAGAAGAUACAGAGAAAUUAUAAACAGCAGAAAUGAUAGGCAAUUUAAAAUUUGCAGAAGCAAACUAAACCUAAAUGGUGAUCAGACAUCUUGGUUUUCAUGAUCAAUAGGUCAUUACUGAAGAGGAAACUUAAAGUUGAAAUUUAUUUACAAAGUGCAUAAUUGGAUUAAUUUGAACUGGAAUGUGUGCUUUCCUGCAAAAAAGAAACAGGAAAUUUCAUCAUUAUCACAUGAUAAUGCCCAUAAACAAAAUGGAGUUCUAUCAUAGAUACACAAAAACACUAUUGCAUAAAAGCAACAACAUAUUAUAUAUAUUAAUCGAAAGAAAGGAGAAUGCAGUUCAAAUACUAUUUUGUUGUUGAAAAAGGAACACCAGUUUUAUCCACUCAUUUACAUCGCUCCCUCAUAUCAAAUGUACGGAAGGAGAUCUUGAAGAACAAUUUGCAAAAAUGUUUUCUCUUAGAAUUGAAGGAAAAUGUUAAGUGAAUGGAAUAAUGUAUUCACUGAAUUCUUACGUAGUGGAUUGAAUAACUGUAUACAAGUUGAAACAGAAGAAAAUUUUAAUUUAAAAUAACACGAAAAGUGUUUAUUUUAUUAUUUAAUCUGCAAACAUAUAAACAAAUUCUUUAGAACACCACAAAUGGUAUGACAUUCAAAUUGGUUGCUUAUUAAUGUAUUGCAUUGAAACAAUUACAAGGAAAACAGAAUCAUUUGCUACAAAAAAAAAUUAUAAAUCAAAGUUAAAUUUUAUAAAAAGUAUGAACAAUACCUAGAUCUAAACAGUCAGACUUUAUCAAUUUUCAAUGUCAUUAAAAAAUGUUGAGUCAAACAUUUAUGAAAGUUUUGAAUAUCAUUUGCAUCAACUAUACAGUCUUGUAAUAAUUAUAUAUAUUCAUACUGUUUAUAUGUAUACAUGGUAUAGCGAAGAAAUG